Molecule: long non-coding RNA, 6314 nt
Filed under: Sus scrofa (pig)
Lineage: Eukaryota; Metazoa; Chordata; Mammalia; Artiodactyla; Suidae
Description: lncRNA (ENSSSCG00040043282.1)
Source: RNAcentral
CUCCGAGCGCCACGGACUUCGCCCCGGGCGCCGUCCCCGGCGGGCCCCGGCUUCCGCGCGCACCCCUGCCGCGCGGUUCUCGGGCAGUCGGCGCAAGUCUCAACCGGCUCGGAACGAGAGGCACCUGCCCGUCCGCCAGCCUCAAAACAGCGCGCGGUGCCGCUCCCGGGAUACCUGGGUUCCCGCUGGUCCUGCCACGACCCCCGGGGCGCUCCUCGCUGCGGCCUUAUUAGGAGGCGGCCCCCGCAGGGAGCAGGAAGCAGAAAGUCUCUGCAAACCCUUCCAGAGGGCGGACGACGGUGGAGUGCUGAAUUAUACCCAUAUGGCCAACAGGUGGGAACCCUGGGCUGCAGGAGCUGUAGGCCCCCCCGGGAGAACCUCUCUUCUCUGCCCUGCGCGGGCUCUUGAGGACCGUGGUCAAAGGAGCCCAAGUCUUGCAUCGCGGCAUCCUGACACACACUCAUUGGCCCCAUGAAGUCGGGGGCGCUGAUUGAGAAGCGUUAUGAUGAGGUCACUGCCAGCCGUGAAUGCGCUCUCUGCGUGCCAGGAACGACCGCAUCCUGUUCCACGUCCUGGAACUGCUGGGCUCAGGUGUGCAGCCCCGUGGCCAGGUGUCCAUCGUUAAAAUCCACUUUGCAGAGGUGCUCCUGUCCCGUGCAAGUGAGCCCCACUGCGUGCCCAGACCUGUGCUGGGACAUCAGUGCAAAGGAAGCAGAACUACCCCCCUGCCCGAGAGCCUUCUGUGUAGCUCGGGGGUGAAAGCACCCUGGCCGGUACCUCCGUGCCCCCCCACCACAGCCUUCCUCCCACCCCUCGGGACGUCGAAUAAUGCCUGCCCCAUCACAAGAGAGUUGGCUCCCAUCCUUCCUCUUGCUGACGGAGUCGUUUGGGGCUGGAUGUGCUCGGAGGAGAGGUCAUAAGGUAAAGAUAGGAGGUGGGCGAGCAGCCCUGCUGUAUGAAACCUCAACUUUCCACAUCCUGCUCGUCUUCAAGGCCAGCUCUGGGCCCAGCACCCUCGGGGACCCUGGGCCCCUCUGGUCCACAGGGUGAGCUCCCUUCAGAGGACACAGCACACACGGCCAUGCAGGGCUGGGUGACCUGGCAGGUGAGAAAGCUCUGCCUCCUCCACCCGAGUGGGGGCUCCUGGAGGUUAAGGGUCAUGUCUUCUUGGCUUUUAUCCUCAUGAUGUCAGCACAGGGGAGGCUCCCCGGGAGAGUUUUUCCCCCAGCAUGCCUGGGAACUGCCGUCAGCCACCAUCAUGAAAGCUGAGGUGUUUGCUUGUCAUCACUUACAUAUUUUCAGCUUAAAUACCAUACAGUUUCUUCGUAUCUUCCAAUGAAUGAAAGGAAAAAAAUGUAUAUGGGGGGUGUGAAAAUUAACUCAUAAAAAUCCUUGACUUACCAAAAAAAUUCAAGAAAUGUGCUUCAUACACACAGAUGUGGCAAUUGGGAUGCUCCUUUCAUGUGCAGGAGCCCCAGGAUGGAAGGGCUGCCAGGCGUACCGAGGGAAGUAUUUCUCAUCUCUGUAAAGUUGAUAGAAUCUAAUUUCUUAGUGGAGAAACUUGCUGCGGUUGUUAGUUUGUGGUAACUGCCCCUCUUUAACUGGUUUAUGGCUGAUCCCAAUCCCAAAGAGCAGUAUAAUUCAGUUAUCUACGAUGGUGUGGAAGGCACAAUUUGUGCAUUAAAGGGCAAAAGCACACUGUUCAGGUGGGCUGGCCCUUGGGAGCCCUCCUGAGAUAUUUCACAGCGGGUAUGAGUAGGUGGGGGAGGACAUAUUUUGUUUCACCUGCUUAAAAUGAUUUCAGACCAAUAACCUUGUGGCCAUUCUCUGUGUUAGAUCCAAUUUCAAGCUCUUUCUUCUGGAGCAUCUUGGUCCUGUCCACUGCUGCUCCUUUAGUCUACUUCUGCAGUGAGUGGGGUAUUGUGUGUCCUUUCCUGGCACUGGAGCAUUUAUAAAUGUAGCAAGCCUUCCUCUGCUUUGGCUGCUGACUAAAUCCUAUGACUCUACACCUAACCAACCUCAUAAAUAGGGAGGCCUUGUACCGUUGUGCAGGUUGCACACUGCACAACUCCAAGGAAUGCCAUUUACAUGGACCACAAUGGAACCUCCAGAGCUGUAUUAGGACGACCUGCACAAUACUCCAGGAAAGCCCCAUCUCAUAAAUUUCUCUACAUGCCAAGGGCUCUCUUCUAAAUACCACCCUGACAAAACAGACAAAAUUCCUACCCCCAGGAAGCUUACAUUCUAGUGGGGGGAAAUACAUAAUAAACAAAUUACAGAUGCCUAUGUGUAAUAUUAUGUCACACAUAUAAUAUUACAUAUGUACAUACAGCACUACAUACGUGCAUAUGUAAUAUUACAUGUAUAUGUAAUUAUGUAUAAUAUAUUAAUGGUGAUAAAGAAGUAGAAAAUAAAUCAGGGAAGGGGAAGAGAGUGGCGGAGGUGAAUUUUAGAGAGCAGAGAUCUGGGAAGGACUUUCUGAGAAGAUGCCAUUUGUGCGAAACCUGAAGAGUGAGGAAUGUGCUGUGUUCCCUGGGGGAAGGACACUCCACACAGAAGGAACAGCAAGUGCAAAGGCCCUGAGGCAGGAGUGUGACCAGUGCUGAAGAAGCGGCAGGGAGGCUGGUGUGGCUACAAUGGGGUCAGAGGGAUAGUGACGUGGUCAGAUGGAUCCCGAAGCAGGGCCACUUCAGGCUUUGGAGGCUGUGAUGUACUUGGAGCUUACUCUGCAUCAGAUGAGAAGCCAUCCAAGGGUUUUGAGUAGAGGAGUGGCAAAAUUUCAAAAAAAUCACCCUGACCAACAAGUUGAGAUCAGACAAAGGAUACAGAGGAGGAAGCAGGAGACCAAUUAGGAGCAAUUGGGGGGAUUCCGAGGUGAGAAAGGCUCUUUUAUUUUAGACUGGCUGGUGAGGCUGGAGGGAGGGGACCUGUGCCGGGGUCAAGGUUAGGGAGGUGGGCAGGGGCAGGGCAGUCCAGGUUGAGUCUUGCCCCCACGUUGCAGGAACAUUGGGUUUGAUUUCCCAGCAGGGGGGCUGAGAUUUAUCCUGACUGCCAAGUGCAGCAGGGCUACUGGCAUGAGGGGUGUCCCAGGCAUGGGGAACAAGAUGCUGGGAGGCUGGACCAGGACAGAAAUGGUGCAAGUGGGAGAUUUGCUCGGUUGUGCUCUGAAGGCCUUGCUGAUGGACUGAAGGAAGCAAGAGGAAAGUCAAGGCGGACUCCUGGGUUGUGGCUUGAGCAACGGAAUGGAUGUUGGUUCUGGUCAUGAGAAGCGGAAAACUGGAAGAGAACCAGCCAGGUUUGGGGGAGAAACAAGGGGUUCCACUACGACCAUGACAUAAGACGAUGUUAAAUGGGAGAUGCCUAUUAGUCACUUGGCGCUUCUGUGUGUAAUCUACAAAGGAAGUCACACAUUCGUUCAAUUACUAUUUGUCGAAUGAGUAAGUGGGUGCCAGCCCUUCUGGAUGAGGGAGGCCAGACUGGGAGUCAAAGAUGGCGAUUCAGAGUGAUGAUGCUAACACGACCCCAGGGGAAGCUGUCCCACCCCUGUCACUGUCACCGGUCGUAUCAGCCAUUGGCAGAGGAGCUGGGCUGGGAACGAAGAUCUCUCUGCUAUAGGCAAAGGGUCUGCGUGGAGGAGAGACGGCAGGACCCACGUGCCCAGGCCGGGAUUGAACCCAAGUCCUCGUGGGUACCAGUCCAUGUGGAUUCGUUUCCGCUGCACCACAGCAGGAACUCCUAUCUGUCUUUUUAAUUUUAGCCAUCCCAGUGUAUGUGAAGUGGUAUCUCAUGGCAGUUUUGAUUUGUGUUGUCUUAGUGACUAAUGAUGUUUUGCUUCUGUCAGUUUCAGCCUCUGAAGGAUGUGGGGUCCCCAGACCAGGACAUGAUGGUAAUUAGAAUAGUGCUGUCGACACCUUCCCUUCAAGCCUAAAGAGGUGCAGGUUUUAUCAGAGUAGGAGCCAACAGGUAGGCUCUUUCCGCAACACGUGUGGUUUUUGCCUGAGAGCCUGGCAGUGGAAGUGAACGCCUCCCCCCAAAAACAGUUUAAAAAUUAUUUUCACACACUAAACAAGUAGCUGAAGAAAAAAUAAACUAAUGUGGAUAAAAGAGAAACUCUACUGGAAGAGAUUUUAUUAUUUAAAUACUUGCUAGGAUAAUAUUUAUUUGCAGGGAAACCCACUCCCCCAACUCACCUCCUGCGCUGGGCGAAUGGCACCACUGCCGUGGACAAAGACUGCCUAUCACCUGCCAUUUCAGAAAACAAAACAUGCCGUGGCCAUCGAGCCAUCAGCCACAGCAGCCGACCCAGACGGGACACCCUGAGGGGAAUUUAGGAUGGAGAAAAGCAGGACACUGGCCCUAAAUGUUAGGAUGCAUAUCGAAGGCUUAGUUUCAAGGAGCCCAGACUCUUGCAUCGCCCCAAGCAUAGAAAAGCACUAAAAUCAUUAACGUCAGACGUCUGAUUUCUUUUAAUUAGUGAUAAUCUUUUGAGGUUUGACAACAUUUUUUCAUUUUGUUUUGUUUUUCAGCAAAAGCUCAUAUAAGCCUUAGCUUGUUGCAAGAGUCCCUUCGAUGUUUCCAUGAGGCUGUAUCCCAGGCUCUAGUCCUCAGAGAUUCCCCAGAUAAAACACAGUUCUCAACUCUGAGGUUGGGCAUUUUUUCUUUUCCGUCGACACCCAGGACAUCCACUGGUCCUGUACUAUCCGAGAGAAACAGGCACUUUCUUAGAUCUGGGAGUUAAACUUCCUUCAGAGACAUCUCAUGGCAACUACCUCACGCACGGACUGUUUCCUGCCUGCUGGGGGUUUUAUUGGGAGCCCUCUGUUGCACAAUCACAAGAAUUUCAGUGUUCCCAGCCUGCAGUUCUGGGAUUAGAGGGUGCAGUUCUGGGAUUAGAGGGCUAAGUUCCUGGGGCCCUGGAAGGAAAAUCUAGCACUAGGAUUCUCUAAAGCCCAAACUUGAUGGGAAAUGGGUUUGAUGUUCACUUAGUGUGCAAACCAGGAAUUCCCUAAAAAUGACAUUGCGAGUCUAGUGGGAAUCCUACCAACAUGUUCGGGGAGGUUCCAGAACUUUCAUCAUUGUUUGGGAAAUGGGAUUCCAAUCUUGAAUGCCUCCUUCCCAGGCUCAUUCUUUCAUCCUGUAUCAUGAUGCCUGACUCUGCUUUUUAGAGCUUAUAGCAGGAGACAUCUCCCACCACGGCAGAUUUUUAAAAAAGAAGUUUGCAGUUGUUUACACAUACCCUGUUCUCUGGGGAACUUGGGUCAGGAUCCGAUUGUAGACCAGUUUUGUGCUCUGGGAGCAGCCAGCUGGAGAGACAGUUAAAGAAGAGAGAGGAGAAGCAGCAGCUAAAGGCAGGCUUUGUACAUUUUGUAAACAGUCUGGCCUCUAUCACCUACAGCCCAUGUGGUCUGGGGCAAAUGACUUUCUAAGAACCUCCAUUUCCUCCUCUGAAAAACCAAGGUAAGGCUGCUUACUCACCACAAAAGGCUGAUAUGAGGCAUAUAUAAACCACCAAGAGAGCACUUGUUGUGCUCAGCGAUACCGAAGAGGCUGUGGUUGUUUUUGCUCUUCCCUCCAGCAGUGAGUGGAAUGCGCCUCUCCUUGUCUCAUCUGCCUCCUCCCAGACCCCCCACCUCAAACCCAGGGGAGAACUCCGGGCAUCCAGAAGGUGUUCCAGAACACUGUUCUUAGGUGAAACAAAUUCAGGUUUCCAGUUGAAUAAAAGAGACAAUAGAUGAGUGGAUUUGGUCGUGAAACAGAUAUGUACAGAGACCCUGUUAAUGUUCCAGACUGUUCUAGGCACAGAAGAAACAGCUGUGAAUGAAACAGACAAGAAUUCAUGCCCUCAUGGAGCUUCUCUGCUAGAAAGGAGAGAGAGACUCUAAAUAAAGAAAUCACGGAAAUGGACGGUAACGGAGGAAGGGCUAUGCCAAAAAUAAAGCAAGGAAGGAGAAGGCCAGUGGAAGGGGACAGGGAGGCCAGAGAUGAGUCAGGGAGGUCGUCUUCUUUUUUAAAGAUUCUUAACAUUUAUUGAAGCGUAAUGUACACACAGAAAAGUAUGCGUGUCAGAGUUCCCGUCGUGGCUCAGUGGUUAACGAAUCCGACUAGGAACCAUGAGGUUGUGGGUUCGAUCCCUGGCCUUGCUCAGUGGGUUGAUGAUCCGGCAUUGCCGUGAGCUCUGGUGUAGGUUGCAGACGCGGCUCGGAUCCUGCCUUGCUGUGGCUAUGGUGUAGGCCAGUGGCUACAACUCCGACUCGACCCCUAGCCUGGGAAUCUCCAUAUGCCUCUGGUGCGGCCCUAGAAAAAGGCAAAAAGAC